UGAGUAACCUGCCCUUAACUCUGGGAUAAGCCUGGGAAACUGGGUCUAAUACCGGAUAUGACUCCUCAUCGCAUGGUGGGGGGUGGAAAGCUUUAUUGUGGUUUUGGAUGGACUCGCGGCCUAUCAGCUUGUUGGUAAGGUAAUAGCUCACCAAGGCGAUGACGGGUAGCCGGCCUGAGAGGGUGACCGGCCACACUGGGACUGAGACACGGCCCAGACUCCUACGGGAGGCAG
Molecule: ribosomal RNA, 234 nt
Filed under: uncultured bacterium
Lineage: Bacteria
Description: partial 16S ribosomal RNA
Rfam family: Bacterial small subunit ribosomal RNA
Source: RNAcentral